This 76-nucleotide transfer RNA is filed under the name Myxococcota bacterium. RNAcentral's name for it is "tRNA-Thr". It matches the Rfam family "tRNA". From Rfam's summary of the family: Transfer RNA (tRNA) molecules are approximately 80 nucleotides in length. Their secondary structure includes four short double-helical elements and three loops (D, anti-codon, and T loops). The record is from RNAcentral. Lineage: Bacteria; Pseudomonadati; Myxococcota.
GCCAGCGUAGCUCAGUCGGUAGAGCAGCUGAUUCGUAAUCAGCAGGCCCGGGGUUCAAGUCCCCUCGCUGGCUCCA